GCUUACGGCCAUACCACCCUGAGCACGCCCGAUCUCGUCUGAUCUCGGAAGCUAAGCAGGCUUGGGCUUGGUUAGUACUUGGAUGGUAGACUGCCUGGGAAUACCAGGUGCUGUAAGCU
Molecule: ribosomal RNA, 119 nt
Organism: Oreochromis aureus
Lineage: Eukaryota; Metazoa; Chordata; Actinopteri; Cichliformes; Cichlidae
Source: Ensembl